AGCGCAGGCGGGAAGACAAGUUGGAAGUGAAAUCUAUGGGCUCAACCCAUAAACUGCUUUCAAAACUGUUUUUCUUGAGUAGUGCAGAGGUAGGUGGAAUUCCCGGUGUAGCGGUGGAAUGCGUAGAUAUCGGGAGGAACACCAGUGGCGAAGGCGGCCUACUGGGCACCAACUGACGCUGAGGCUCGAAAGUGUGGGUAGCAAACA
This 207-nucleotide ribosomal RNA is filed under the name uncultured bacterium. RNAcentral's name for it is "partial 16S ribosomal RNA". It matches the Rfam family "Bacterial small subunit ribosomal RNA", at positions 568 to 774 of the family's 1533-position model. The record is from RNAcentral.